CAAAAGAGUGGGAAGAGCUUUGAGUAGAGGUGACAAACCUACCGAGCCCAGUUAUAGCUGGUUGCCUGUGAAAUGAAUAGGAGUUCAGCCCUUUAAGUCUUUCCCCCCUCACCUAUGCUUACGCUAAAAUUGAUUAAGGAAACUAAAGGCGUUAAUCAAAAGGGGUACAGCCCUUUUGAUAGAAGAAACAACUUUAUCAGGUGACCCAAGAUCAUAUUACCCAAGGAUUUCAAAUUAAGUGGGCCUAAAAGCAGCCAUCUUACUAGAAAGCGUUAAAGCUCAAAUUAGCCAAUAUCCUCAUAUACUGAUAUUACAUCUCCCUCCCUGCCCCUUACCAGGCUGUCUUAUGCCCCCAUAAGAACAAUUAUGCUAAAAUGAGUAAUAAGAAGAAUUUAAUUCUUCUCCUAGCACAUGUGUAAGUCGGAACGGACCUCCCACCGACUAUUAACCGACCCCAAACCCAGAGGGAAAUAGGCUAAAAAACAAGAAAUACACCUAUUUUGUAUCGUUAACCCCACACAGGAGUGCCUAAAGGAAAGACUAAAAGAGAAGGAAGGAACUCGGCAAACACAAGCCUCGCCUGUUUACCAAAAACAUCGCCUCUUGCCCCCAAAAUAUGAGAGGUCCCGCCUGCCCUGUGACUAUAAGUUUAACGGCCGCGGUAUUUUAACCGUGCGAAGGUAGCGUAAUCACUUGUCUUUUAAAUGAAGACCUGUAUGAAUGGCAUCACGAGGGCUUAGCUGUCUCCCAUCUCCAGUCAAUGAAAUUGACCUCCCCGUGCAGAGGCGGGGAUGAUUACAUAAGACGAGAAGACCCUAUGGAGCUUUAGACCUAAAGUAAGUCACGUUUAAUAUGCUAUGAUAACAGCGAAAACUUAGUGAUAUUUACUGAAGUGUCUUUGGUUGGGGCGACCGCGGGGUAAAACACAACCCCCAUGUGGACCGGGGAUAUUAUCCCUAAUACUCAGAGCCUCUACUCCAAGUAACAGAAAUUCUGACUUUUCUGAUCCGGUAUAACCGAUCAACGAACCGAGUUACCCUAGGGAUAACAGCGCAAUCCCCUCUCAGAGCCCAUAUCGACGAGGGGGUUU
This 1090-nucleotide ribosomal RNA is filed under the name Eleginus gracilis (saffron cod). RNAcentral's name for it is "partial 16S ribosomal RNA". It matches the Rfam family "Bacterial large subunit ribosomal RNA", at positions 792 to 2519 of the family's 2925-position model. The record is from RNAcentral. Lineage: Eukaryota; Metazoa; Chordata; Actinopteri; Gadiformes; Gadidae.